Long non-coding RNA from Mauremys reevesii (Reeves's turtle), 680 nucleotides. RefSeq lists it as uncharacterized. NCBI's taxonomy places the organism in Eukaryota, Metazoa, Chordata, Testudines, Geoemydidae. The transcript is spliced from 3 exons. The record is from RefSeq and is a predicted model, not a curated record.
UGCAGCCACGGCGGAAGUGCAGCCGUGGCCCCGGUAGCCGUAGCAACCACAAAGCCCGUGGUGACGGUGCCCUCUGUGGGCGGCCCCAGGCGAUGCCCCUCGGAGGAGCCCUGUGGUGGUGAAACGGGGAGGGGGGUCCCUGGCCACGUAGUGGGGCGUCCGGGCUCCGGCCACCUACCCGGCGUGUUGCGGUAGGACUCCGGCGUCCGGGAGAACAGGGGCGAUCCCCUCACCCCCCCCAUUUACCUGGUGAAGGCUUCGAAAGAACCCAGGCGUCCGGGAGGCUGAGAGGAGAGAACAGAAGGGGGAAAUUCCGCAGCUUACCGAGCUCUGCAAGGGUCUAAGAUCGCAACCGUGAGAAAGAAAGAAAAGAAAAAGAUUCUGCUGGGGAACAAAGGGGCCACUGAAGGACGACACAGAAAGAAUCGACAGUGACUAAAGGCUCACACGAAAGGAGGAGUUUCCACCCUCCUCCUGGCUCCUUUUCUGGGGAUCUCGGCUUCCCUGCCUCCAUCCUUUCCUGGCUCCCCAGGGCUCGGUCGUUCUCUUCUCCAUCUGCACCUUCUCCCUCCCACAAACCCGGGUCCAACUCCCACCUCCACUCCCGGAUCGACCUCGACAAGGUAAAAUCCAGCAAGUAGCUCCUCGCCUGCCCCGCCCAGCUUGCCUGUCACCGACGU